This 289-nucleotide long non-coding RNA is filed under the name Anser brachyrhynchus (Pink-footed goose). RNAcentral's name for it is "lncRNA (ENSABRG00000004746.1)". Lineage: Eukaryota; Metazoa; Chordata; Aves; Anseriformes; Anatidae. The record is from RNAcentral.
CUCUGAUUGACCUAUUAGAGAGAGAUUGCAAUGGAGGAGAUUGCAAUGGAGAUGACUGCACUUCCUUACCAGUAUGCCUAUGGAACCACACGACAGUGGACAUUUGAAUCUGCAGCACCGGUUCAUUGAUCAAAAGGCACAGCUGUUUUGCUCCUGGGUGUUAACUCCACCUCUGGCAUUCUCUACUCCUCUCCUAUGGCAUACUUAUGAAUUAUCUUUUGCGUGGCCCCAAGAAACAUUAUUAAUACACAUUGAAGGACAGUUUAACCAUGAAUAUUAAUGACCCAAG